RNAcentral lists this ribosomal RNA (159 nucleotides) under Pasteurella multocida. RNAcentral's name for it is "partial 16S ribosomal RNA". It matches the Rfam family "Bacterial small subunit ribosomal RNA", at positions 1 to 149 of the family's 1533-position model. Lineage: Bacteria; Pseudomonadati; Pseudomonadota; Gammaproteobacteria; Pasteurellales; Pasteurellaceae. The record is from RNAcentral.
UUGAAUUGAAGAGUUUGAUCAUGGCUCAGAUUGAACGCUGGCGGCAGGCUUAACACAUGCAAGUCGAACGGUAGCAGGAAGAAAGCUUGCUUUCUUUGCUGACGAGUGGCGGACGGGUGAGUAAUGCUUGGGAAUCUGGCUUAUGGAGGGGGAUAACUG